UACGUAGGGGGCAAGCGUUGUCCGGAAUCAUUGGGCGUAAGGCGCGUGUAGGCGGCUCGGUAAGUCUGCUGUGAAAGUCCAGGGCUCAACCCUGGGAUGCCGGUGGAUACUGUCGAGCUCGAGUCCGGAAGAGGCGAGUGGAAUUCCUGGUGUAGCGGUGAAAUGCGCAGAUAUCAGGAGGAACACCAAUGGCGAAGGCAGCUCGCUGGGACGUGACUGACGCUGAGACGCGAAAGCGUAGGGAGCGAACAGG
Molecule: ribosomal RNA, 253 nt
Filed under: uncultured bacterium
Lineage: Bacteria
Description: partial 16S ribosomal RNA
Rfam family: Bacterial small subunit ribosomal RNA
Source: RNAcentral